This 279-nucleotide unclassified non-coding RNA is filed under the name plant metagenome. RNAcentral describes it as "partial contains small subunit ribosomal RNA, internal transcribed spacer 1, and 5.8S ribosomal RNA". The record is from RNAcentral.
UUUCCGUAGGUGAACCAGCGGAAGGAUCAUUACAGUGUAACCAAGCUGCGUGAACUGUCGCUAACCCACACGUAAAUACACGCUUCAGCGCCCCCAGAAACAUCUCACCCACCCCUGCGUCCCCCCCCGCACCCCCCCCCCUCUUGUUUUUAACGAAAUGGCCUCACGGUUUAACGUACUUUAAUUAGUCAGAACUUUCAACAACGGUUCUUUUGGUUCUGGCACCGACGAAACACCUAUCAGAUAGGAAUAGCUUACCUCUGAACUCGAGUAACAGAG